RNAcentral lists this ribosomal RNA (455 nucleotides) under Salmonella enterica. Its description in RNAcentral is "partial 23S ribosomal RNA". It matches the Rfam family "Bacterial large subunit ribosomal RNA", at positions 161 to 655 of the family's 2925-position model. The record is from RNAcentral. Lineage: Bacteria; Pseudomonadati; Pseudomonadota; Gammaproteobacteria; Enterobacterales; Enterobacteriaceae. RNAcentral also lists the same sequence under 1 other name.
AAUCCAUAGGUUAAUGAGGCGAACCGGGGGAACUGAAACAUCUAAGUACCCCGAGGAAAAGAAAUCAACCGAGAUUCCCCCAGUAGCGGCGAGCGAACGGGGAGGAGCCCAGAGCCUGAAUCAGCAUGUGUGUUAGUGGAAGCGUCUGGAAAGGCGCGCGAUACAGGGUGACAGCCCCGUACACAAAAGCGCAUGUGCUGUGAGCUCGAUGAGUAGGGCGGGACACGUGGUAUCCUGUCUGAAUAUGGGGGGACCAUCCUCCAAGGCUAAAUACUCCUGACUGACCGAUAGUGAACCAGUACCGUGAGGGAAAGGCGAAAAGAACCCCGGCGAGGGGAGUGAAAAAGAACCUGAAACCGUGUACGUACAAGCAGUGGGAGCACCCUUUGGGUGUGACUGCGUACCUUUUGUAUAAUGGGUCAGCGACUUAUAUUCUGUAGCAAGGUUAACCGAAU